GCGCACAUCCUUCCUCUUCUCCGGCAUCGCGCGCCUCCUCCCUCUCCUCCGGUCGCGCGCGCCUCCUUCUUCUCCUCCGGUCGCGCGCCGCCUACCUCUCCUCCGGUCGCGCGCCGCCUACCUCUCCUCCGGUCGCGUGCCCCUCCUGCACUCUCGCCGAGCCUCUUCACGUCUACAGAAAAAAGGUAAGCAUCAUUAUUUUCGUCUGGUUAUAUUCUGAGUUAUUUUCGUCUGGUUAUGUUUGCUGCCCUUGAAGCUUUCCCUCGUUGUUGUUCUCAUUUAUGUGCUGAGCCCUUUUUCAGUGCCUUGGGUG
Molecule: long non-coding RNA, 313 nt
Filed under: Lotus japonicus
Lineage: Eukaryota; Viridiplantae; Streptophyta; Magnoliopsida; Fabales; Fabaceae
Description: long non-coding RNA (LJAP_LNC000974)
Source: RNAcentral